Molecule: ribosomal RNA, 301 nt
Filed under: uncultured bacterium
Lineage: Bacteria
Description: partial 16S ribosomal RNA
Rfam family: Bacterial small subunit ribosomal RNA
Source: RNAcentral
CAGUCGCCGCGGUAAAACGAGGGGGGCAAGCGUUGUUCGGAAUUAUUGGGCGUAAAGGGUGCGUAGGCGGUUUAGCAAGUCUUGUGUGAAAUCCUCGGGCUCAACCCGAAGCCUGCACGAGAAACUGCCGGGCUUGAGUAUUGGAGAGGUGAGUGGAAUUUCCGGUGUAGCGGUGAAAUGCAUAGAUAUGUCACAGAACACCAAUUGCGAAGGCAGCUUACUAUGGUUUUAUUGACACUGAGGCACGAAAGCGUGGGGAUCAAACAGGAUUAGAGACCCCAGUAGUCCCUGUCUCUUAUAC